AGUCUUCAGCCUGGCCUUCAUAUUGCUGUCGGUCCCGGUAAGAUUUCCGGCGUUGAAUCCAAUUAAACCGCAAGCUCCACCCGUUGUGGUGCUCCCCCGCCAAUUCCUUUAAGUUUCAGCCUUGCGGCCGUACUUCCCAGGUGGCUCGCUUCACGGCUUCCCUACGGCACCGACAACGGUCGCACCGUGGCCGACACCUAGCGAGUAUCGUUUACGGCUAGGACUACCCGGGUAUCUAAUCCGGUUCGUGCCCCUAGCUUUCGUCCCUUGCCGUCAGGUCCGUUCUGGUGAGACGCCUUCGCCACUGGUGGUCCUUCAAGGAUUACAAGAUUUCACCCCUACCCCUGAAGUACCUCUCACCUCUCCCGGCCUCGAGCCAGACAGUAUCUCCUGAAAGCCUGACAGUUAAGCU
RNAcentral lists this ribosomal RNA (412 nucleotides) under unidentified archaeon. RNAcentral's name for it is "partial 16S ribosomal RNA". The record is from RNAcentral.